GUCUGUAUUGUGGAUUCCUGUGAAUGUCUGUGUUUUUCCUCUGUGUUAAGAUAUUGAUGGACUUUGUUUGAACCUCUAAAAGAAAGGACCAGGGCCGAUCCCAGCUGUCAUUGGGUGGGAAGCGGGGUACACCCUGCGCAGACAGGGCUGACUUAUAGAGACAGACAACCAGCCACAUUCACACCUACAGACAAUUUAGAUUCACCAGUUAUCGUAACGAGCAUGUCUUUGGACUGUGGGAGGAAGCCGGAGUACCCUGAAUGGAACCCACGCACACACGAUGAGUACAUGCAAACUCCACACAGAGAGACUCCUGUACGAUGGGGAUUCGAACCAGGGACCUUCUCACUGUCACAUGAAUGCCGUGCUUGUAAGACGCCAGCAUGUCCUUGAAUGCACCAAAAAGAAACCCACAGCUUGUUUUUGUGUUGAAUGAAACUUUGACUAAUGCGAAAAGUUGCAAUGUUUCACUGAGAUGGAUUAUGAAGCAACUUUAAACACAUUAUGUAAAACUUGUUUUUUUUUAACUUUUGUUUAAUAAAUGUAAA
Molecule: non-coding RNA, 548 nt
Organism: Labrus bergylta (ballan wrasse)
Lineage: Eukaryota; Metazoa; Chordata; Actinopteri; Labriformes; Labridae
Source: RefSeq, a predicted model, not a curated record